Molecule: small nucleolar RNA, 137 nt
Filed under: Drosophila guanche
Lineage: Eukaryota; Metazoa; Arthropoda; Insecta; Diptera; Drosophilidae
Description: small nucleolar RNA psi28S-3316
Rfam family: Small nucleolar RNA psi28S-3316
About the family: psi28S-3316 is a member of the H/ACA class of snoRNA.
Source: RNAcentral
AGCACCUAAAAGCGUUUUCUUGCCAGCCCAUUAAAUGCUGUUGAAAAUCGUAGAUGUGUGCCAAAGAGAACUUCUCGCAAUAGCAAAGUGAUCGGAGAUCCAUUGAUGACUCUUGUCCGUUUACAUUGUGAACAGCA